Molecule: long non-coding RNA, 313 nt
Organism: Aphis gossypii (cotton aphid)
Lineage: Eukaryota; Metazoa; Arthropoda; Insecta; Hemiptera; Aphididae
Exons: 2
Source: RefSeq, a predicted model, not a curated record
GUUUACGGGAGACCGCACAACACAAACCGUCGUCGGGUGAUAACAACCGCCGCGUGAUAAGGUCAAGGAAUAAUGAGAUAAUAGAUUGAAGAUUGUUGUAAUUGUUGUACAGAAAAAAAAAAAAAAAAAAUUACCAAUAUGAAGAGUAGUAUCGUUUUAUUAAUUUUAUUAUCUUUUUGUUUGAGUAUUAUUGGAUACUCAAAUUUUAUCGAAAAUCCAAGAUUACUAAGUACUACGUUUAGAAUGUAUAAAAAUUAUUGUUAUUUUUUAUUUAACGUACCUAAUAUAAUUUAAAAAAUUUUAAAAUUCAAAA